GUUGUAUGGUUAAGUGACGAAGCGUGCAGGGUGGAUGCCUAGGCAGUCAGAGGCGAAGAAGGACGUGCUAAUCUGCGAAAAGCGUGGAGGAGUUGAUAAGAAGCGUAAUCACUCCACGAUAUCCGAAUGGGGCAACCCAGUAGAUGAAGAAUCUACUAUUGUUAACUGAAUACAUAGGUUAACAAGGCGAACCGGGAGAACUGAAACAUCUCAGUACCCCGAGGAAAAGAAAUCAACCGAGAUUCUGUAAGUAGCGGCGAGCGAACGCGGAAGAGCCGUUAGUGAUAGUAAGUGUGUUAGGAGAAUGGGCUGGGAAGCCCAAUCGUAGAGGGUGAUAAUCCCGUAUCCGAAGGCGCGUUUAUGGUACUAAGCUAACAAGAAGUAGGGCGGGACACGAGAAAUCCUGUUUGAAGAUGGGGGGACCAUCCUCCAAGGCUAAAUACUCCUGACUGACCGAUAGUGAACCAGUACCGUGAGGGAAAGGCGAAAAGAACCCUGGUGAAGGGAGUGAAAUAGAACCUGAAACCCUGUACGUACAAGCAGUGGGAGCCUCUUUUGUGGGGGUGACUGCGUACCUUUUGUAUAAUGGGUCAGCGACUUAUAUUAUGUAGCGAGGUUAACCGAAUAGGGGAGCCGAAGGGAAACCGAGUCUUAACUGGGCGCUUAGUUGCAUGAUAUAGACCCGAAACCCGGUGAUCUAGCCAUGGGCAGGUUGAAGGUUGGGUAACACUAACUGGAGGACCGAACCGACUACUGUUGAAAAAGUAGCGGAUGACUUGUGGCUGGGGGUGAAAGGCCAAUCAAACCGGGAGAUAGCUGGUUCUCCCCGAAAUCUAUUUAGGUAGAGCCUUAGAUGAAUACCUUCGGGGGUAGAGCACUGUUUCGGCUAGGGGGUCAUCCCGACUUACCAACCCGAUGCAAACUGCGAAUACCGAAGAGUAAUGUCUAGGAGACACACGGCGGGUGCUAACGUUCGUCGUGAAGAGGGAAACAACCCAGACCGCCAGCUAAGGUCCCGAAGUACUAGUUAAGUGGGAAACGAAGUGGGAAGGCUUAGACAGCUAGGAUGUUGGCUUAGAAGCAGCCAUCAUUUAAAGAAAGCGUAAUAGCUCACUAGUCGAGUCGGCCUGCGCGGAAGAUGUAACGGGGCUAAAACUAGUCACCGAAGCUGCGGCAUUCAGGGAGCAGGUUUCAGGGUUCAGGCUACAGGAGUCAGGGCAUGGUAAAACGAUUUGAAGAUUUAAAUGUAUUUCAAAAAGCGUAUCGGGUUUCAUUAGAAAUUCAUCAAGCGACAUUAAAUUUUCCAAAAGUAGAACAAUUUGCCUUGGCUGACCAACUAAGACGUUCAAGUAAAAGCAUCUGUGCCAAUCUGGCAGAAGGUUUUGCGAAGCAACGUUCAUCUGCUGAGUUUAGACGUUAUCUUGCAAUGGCAAUAGGCAGUGCAGAUGAGACACGAGUUUGGUUAAGAUAUUGUAUAGACCUGAAUUAUAUAGAGAAACAACAAUGGCAAGCUUGGCGUAAUGAAUACGAAGAGGUUGCCAAAAUGUUGAAUGGUUUGAGUGAAAGUCUGAGAGACUGACACCAGAACCCUGAAACCUGUUCCCUGAUUGGGUAGGGGAGCGUUGUGUAAGUCGAUGAAGGUGGUUCGAGAGGGCUGCUGGAGAUAUCACAAGUGCGAAUGCUGACAUAAGUAACGAUAAAGGGGGUGAAAAACCCCCUCGCCGGAAGACCAAGGGUUCCUGUCCAACGUUAAUCGGGGCAGGGUGAGUCGGCCCCUAAGGCGAGGCUGAAGAGCGUAGUCGAUGGGAAACGGGUUAAUAUUCCCGUACUUGUGAUAAGAGCGAUGUGGGGACGGAGCAGGUUAGGUUAUCCGGGUGACGGAAGUCCCGGUCCAAGCGUGUAGGAUGGAUGAUUAGGCAAAUCCGGUCAUCUAUAUCAGAGGCGUGAUGGGGAGACUCUACGGAGUUGAAGUAACCGAUACCACACUUCCAGGAAAAGCCGCUAAGCUUAUCUUAUCAUAAACCGUACUGAAAACCGACACAGGUGGUCAGGUAGAGAAUACUCAGGCGCUUGAGAGAACUCGGGUGAAGGAACUAGGCAAAAUAGCACCGUAACUUCGGGAGAAGGUGCGCUGAUAGUAAUUGAAGUCCUUUGCGGAUGGAGGUGAAGUCAGUCGAAGUGACCAGCUGGCUGCAACUGUUUAUUAAAAACACAGCACUCUGCAAACACGAAAGUGGACGUAUAGGGUGUGACGCCUGCCCGGUGCUGGAAGGUUAAUUGAUGAUGUGAGAGCAUUUGAUCGAAGCCCCAGUAAACGGCGGCCGUAACUAUAACGGUCCUAAGGUAGCGAAAUUCCUUGUCGGGUAAGUUCCGACCUGCACGAAUGGCGUAAUGAUGGCCAGGCUGUCUCCACCCGAGACUCAGUGAAAUUGAAAUCGCCGUGAAGAUGCGGUGUACCCGCGGCUAGACGGAAAGACCCCGUGAACCUUUACUAUAGCUUGACACUGAACAUUGAAUUUUGAUGUGUAGGAUAGGUGGGAGACAGAGAAGUAUUAACGCCAGUUAAUAUGGAGUCGUUGUUGAAAUACCACCCUUUAAGGUUUGAUGUUCUAACACAGACUGCGAAACGCGGUCGUGGACAGUGUCUGGUGGGUAGUUUGACUGGGGCGGUCUCCUCCCAAAGCGUAACGGAGGAGUACGAAGGUUUGCUAAUCACGGUCGGACAUCGUGAGGUUAGUACAAUGGUAUAAGCAAGCUUGACUGCGAGACGGACAGGUCGAGCAGGUGCGAAAGCAGGUCAUAGUGAUCCGGUGGUUCUGAAUGGAAGGGCCAUCGCUCAACGGAUAAAAGGUACUCCGGGGAUAACAGGCUGAUACCGCCCAAGAGUUCAUAUCGACGGCGGUGUUUGGCACCUCGAUGUCGGCUCAUCACAUCCUGGGGCUGAAGUAGGUCCCAAGGGUAUGGCUGUUCGCCAUUUAAAGUGGUACGCGAGCUGGGUUUAGAACGUCGUGAGACAGUUCGGUCCCUAUCUGCCGUGGGCGUUGGAAAAUUGAAAGGGGCUGCUCCUAGUACGAGAGGACCGGAGUGGACGCACCGCUGGUGUUCCCGUUGUUUCGCCAGAAGCAUUGCGGGGUAGCUAUGUGCGGAAGAGAUAAGUGCUGAAAGCAUCUAAGCACGAAACUUGCCUUGAGAUGAGUUUUCCCACACUUAGAGUGUGUAAGGGUUGUUUAAGACUAAGACGUAGAUAGGCGGGGUGUGUAAGUGUAGUGAUAUAUUGAGCUAACCCGUACUAAUUGCCCGAGAGGCUUAACCAUACAACGCUCAAGGGUUUU
RNAcentral lists this ribosomal RNA (3332 nucleotides) under Testudinibacter aquarius. Its description in RNAcentral is "23S ribosomal RNA". It matches the Rfam family "Bacterial large subunit ribosomal RNA". The record is from RNAcentral. Lineage: Bacteria; Pseudomonadati; Pseudomonadota; Gammaproteobacteria; Pasteurellales; Pasteurellaceae.